This 103-nucleotide transfer RNA is filed under the name Candidatus Bathyarchaeota archaeon. RNAcentral describes it as "tRNA-Leu". It matches the Rfam family "tRNA". From Rfam's summary of the family: Transfer RNA (tRNA) molecules are approximately 80 nucleotides in length. Their secondary structure includes four short double-helical elements and three loops (D, anti-codon, and T loops). The record is from RNAcentral. Lineage: Archaea; Thermoproteati; Candidatus Bathyarchaeota.
GCGGGGGUAGCAGAGCCAGGUCAAACAUCAAUGGACAAGAUGCGCGGGACUCAAGAUCCCGUCCCGAAGGGGUACGUGGGUUCAAAUCCCACCCCCCGCACCA